CCGUGCUCUGUGACAGACCGGCGGGCACCCGCCAGUCCGGCGCCAGCCCAGUCUGUCACAGAACACGGCA
Molecule: non-coding RNA, 70 nt
Organism: Acyrthosiphon pisum (pea aphid)
Lineage: Eukaryota; Metazoa; Arthropoda; Insecta; Hemiptera; Aphididae
Source: Rfam